This is a long non-coding RNA of Achroia grisella, 1029 nucleotides long. RefSeq lists it as uncharacterized. The record is from RefSeq and is a predicted model, not a curated record. The transcript has 3 exons. NCBI's taxonomy places the organism in Eukaryota, Metazoa, Arthropoda, Insecta, Lepidoptera, Pyralidae.
ACGUCAUGUUGACAUGAAUUACAAUGAUCUAUUUGCAUUGUUAUUGUUUAUAUUUGGUAAUAUUAAUUUCAAUAAUUAUAUAAUUUAAGCACAUCUAUUGGAAUAAUUCUCCGAGAGUAAAUUCUUUAGAGAGAAUGGCAGGAGUGCCUAACGAUUGGCAGUUAGGAUAUGUCGAGAUGAAACAGCGAGGUGCUAAUAUUCUCGAGACAGGCCAGUGUUCUGAUUGCACCUUGGUGGGCACUAAUUCAUCCUAGCCAUGGCAUCAUCUGUCUUCGAAACAAUGUUAAUGUUGUGGAAUGGCGGAAAGAAAUGAUCCUAUACCCAUUUUAGAUGUGCAACCAGAUGCUUUUAAAGCCCUUUUAGAAUAAUCAGCACCAACACAUAAGAGGUACUUAAAGAUAGCUGUUUAGAGGAGGUGGACCUGAAUAUCGUUGUUACAGUGUUCUCUUUGGACCAUCUCAAUGUUGACAGUCACUGGCCAAAUUUGAAGCAGCGGUACAGUAUUCAAAGGCAUAUGUAAUUAUUGUCAGUGCUAGAAGAAUUUUCACUAAGAAGUAUAGGCAAAAAACUCAGUAGUAACUAUUUAAUUUAAAAUCUAUUAAUACAUUGUGUUUUUUUUCAUAUGAAUACACAAGAUGAGUAUUUAUAGGUAGUGAAUGUUGAGAGUAGUGCUGAAAACAGUACAGAGGCAGUCCCCGAGCCAUGCAAGUCCAGUGAUACACCUGUGCCCAGUGACUCAUCUGAGACCGCUGAGAAAAGCAAGAUGAAUAAAGAAGGUGUACAAAGUGGGGAUAGUGUUCAACAAGGUGGGCUGGUACCCCACGGGCACGUGUGCACAGCAAGUGGAGACCGAUGGGGUGUUCUUCAACUUCGGCAUCGGACAAAGCAGCGACUCCGUCCGGGACGCCCUCAUACGCUCCAUUAUAUUCACAUACUAACACACGUUUGAACCCUGUUAUGACGACCUCGGCAUUAUAGAGCUUUAGUACACCUUAGGCUGGAUUUCACCAUUCACAGUAUAAACUAAAU